UGCAAGUCGAACGAUGAUGCCAGCUUGCUGGUGGAUUAGUGGCGAACGGGUGAGUAACACGUGAGCAACCUGCCCCUGACUUCGGGAUAACCGCGGGAAACCGUGGCUAAUACCGGAUAUGACGCGCUAUCGCAUGGUGGUGUGUGGAAAGAUUUAUCGGUUGGGGAUGGGCUCGCGGCCUAUCAGCUUGUUGGUGGGGUGAUGGCCUACCAAGGCGACGACGGGUAGCCGGCCUGAGAGGGUGACCGGCCACACUGGGACUGAGACACGGCCCAGACUCCUACGGGAGGCAGCAGUGGGGAAUAUUGCACAAUGGGCGCAAGCCUGAUGCAGCGACGCCGCGUGAGGGAUGACGGCCUUCGGGUUGUAAACCUCUUUCAGUAGGGAAGAAGGCCUUCGGGUUGACGGUACCUGCAGAAGAAGCGCCGGCUAACUACGUGCCAGCAGCCGCGGUAAUACGUAGGGCGCAAGCGUUGUCCGGAAUUAUUGGGCGUAAAGAGCUCGUAGGCGGUUUGUCGCGUCUGCUGUGAAAACGCGAGGCUUAACCUCGCGCCUGCAGUGGGUACGGGCAGACUAGAGUGCGGUAGGGGAGACUGGAAUUCCUGGUGUAGCGGUGGAAUGCGCAGAUAUCAGGAGGAACACCGGUGGCGAAGGCGGGUCUCUGGGCCGUUACUGACGCUGAGGAGCGAAAGCAUGGGGAGCGAACAGGAUUAGAUACCCUGGUAGUCCAUGCCGUAAACGUUGGGCACUAGGUGUGGGACCCAUUCCACGGGUUCCGUGCCGCAGCUAACGCAUUAAGUGCCCCGCCUGGGG
This 813-nucleotide ribosomal RNA is filed under the name Georgenia sp. MCCC 1A10546. RNAcentral's name for it is "bacterial SSU rRNA". It matches the Rfam family "Bacterial small subunit ribosomal RNA", at positions 56 to 878 of the family's 1533-position model. Lineage: Bacteria; Bacillati; Actinomycetota; Actinomycetes; Allobogoriellales; Allobogoriellaceae. The record is from RNAcentral.